Long non-coding RNA from Capsicum annuum, 687 nucleotides. RefSeq lists it as uncharacterized. The record is from RefSeq and is a predicted model, not a curated record. Lineage: Eukaryota; Viridiplantae; Streptophyta; Magnoliopsida; Solanales; Solanaceae. The transcript has 2 exons.
UUUCUCUAAAUUUUUUCAUAAAACCCUAACCAGUGGGGCUCUCUCCCUAAAAGCCCUAAUUGGCCGCAUCACAUUUAUAAGCAGCGUUACAGAUUUACAGCCAUGGCGGAGCUCCUCGUCUCCUUCCUUACCUGGUUGGACCACUACAUUUUGAGGUUCUCCUCUGUGUGGAUUCAAUAUCUAGAGGAUUCAAUCACUUAGACAAUGAUGAAUCCUCUUGACACUAAAUUCAACUCAGAGGUUAACCUUGGAGUCUUAGCAACUUGCGCUUUGAAUCUCCGUUCCAAUAAUGGCUUCCAGUAGAGCAAACUGGUUGUUGCCUUAAUCUAAUGAUUUGCCAACCAGAGGAGAUUAUUAUUAGGCCUAGCUUUGUCAGGAAGUUGCAUCUGAGGCAUGGAUAUGAUAUCUAAAAAUGGAAGAAGAUUCCUGUAUGGGCUACUAUGUCAACUCACCUCGAGAAUGUUGAACAAGACUACCAUUAUGUUGUACAACAUCAACAACAUAUCUAGUGUGAUCCGACAAAGUGACAUCAUUCAGGACAUUUCUAGUUUCUGUUUGAUUAUUUUUGGUUGUAACUAGUCUAGCUUAUAAACAUUUGACACAAUGGACAUAGCAAAGAGAAAACAGAACAUCUGUAACUUCUCAUAUCCUCUUCAAAUUGCUGGAAUUAAUGGUUCUUAAAAAAGG